AUACGGGGAGUGCAAGCGUUAUUCGGAUUUACUGGGCGUAAAGGGUGUGUAGGCGGCUUAUUAAGUCUGCUGUUAAAUUUCCCGGCUUAACCGGGAGUCAGCGGUGGAUACUGAUAGGCUAGAGUGUGGAAGAGGGAAGUGGAAUUCUCGGAGUAGCGGUAAAAUGCGUAGAUCUCGAGAGGAACACCGAUGGCGAAGGCAGCUUCUUGGUCCAUUACUGACGCUGAGACACGAAAGCGUGGGGAGCAAACAGGAUUAGAUACCCUGGUAGUCCACGCUGUAAACGAUGAUCACUAGAUGUCAGCUCUGCUUGCAGAGUUGGUGUCGUAGCUAACGCAUUAAGUGAUCCGCCUGGGGAGUACGGUCGCAAGAUUAAA
RNAcentral lists this ribosomal RNA (377 nucleotides) under uncultured bacterium. Its description in RNAcentral is "bacterial SSU rRNA". It matches the Rfam family "Bacterial small subunit ribosomal RNA", at positions 523 to 898 of the family's 1533-position model. The record is from RNAcentral.